CAGCCGCGUAAUUCCAGCUCCAAUAGCGUAUAUUAAAGUUGUUGCAGUUAAAAAGCUCGUAGUUGAAUUUCGGGAUUGACACAUCGGUCGUGCCUUAAGGGGUAUGAACUGGUGUAGUCAAUUUCUCACCUUCUGGAGAACCACGAUGCCCUUAAUUGGGUGUCGCGGGGAACCAGGACCUUUACUUUGAAAAAAUUAGAGUGUUUAAAGCAGGCAUUUUGCUUGAAUACAUUAGCAUGGAAUAAUAAAAUAGGACGGCAUGAUUCUAUUUUGUUGGUUUCUAGGAUCACCGUAAUGAUUAAUAGGGAUAGUUGGGGGCAUUAGUAUUCAAUUGUCAGAGGUGAAAUUCUUGGAUUUAUUGAAGACUAACUACUGCGAAAGCAUUUGCCAAGGAUGUUUUCAUUAAUCAAGAACGAAAGUUAGGGGAUCGAAGACGAUCAGAUACCGUCGUAGUCUUAACCAUAAACUAUGCCGACUAGGAAUCAGACGAUGUUAAUUUUUUAAUGACUCGUUUGGCACCUUACG
This 525-nucleotide unclassified non-coding RNA is filed under the name uncultured Glomeromycotina. RNAcentral's name for it is "SSU rRNA". It matches the Rfam family "Eukaryotic small subunit ribosomal RNA", at positions 571 to 1092 of the family's 1831-position model. The record is from RNAcentral. Lineage: Eukaryota; Fungi; Glomeromycota.